UGAAGGUGGGUUCACUAUUUUCGCAGCGGGGUGUGAAGGACAGUUCAGCUCCUGAACCCCACAAUUACUCAACAGGCUUUUGGAGCCUGACCGGUUUCCGAAGACAGAAUCUGGACGACUAGGACAUUUUCUUUCGGCACUCAGAGGCAACAGCAUUGUGUCUGGUUUAAGCAGGUGAGCUCUUCAAACACAGGGCACGGGCAAGUAUGAAGCCUGAACACAGAACGGUAGCCACAAGACAGUGGACCAGAGUGCCGUGGCCUACCGCACUAGGUCUACAGCCAAGAAGAAGAGGAUGUCUCAGAGGAGUAUGAGCACACCAUCAUUCCAGAAGCGGAGGAGGAGGAGGCCUUCUCCCCAGGCUCUGGGGAACAUUGUGGGCUGCUGAUUUUCUCAUGGAUGUAAGAGACUCCUCCAGCAGAGGUGAAGUCAGACGUUUACAGCGACAUCUUAACAGGUCAAUGUGUGCAGUUCACCAGAAGCGACAGGUCCAAAAAGAUCGGCAAAGUCAUUUACCAAGUUCCAGCCACGCCUUCCGUGUACUUGAUCAUGUUUGAUGGUGACGUCCACAUCUACGUCUAUAAUGUGUUGGAUAAGAUCUGUUAAGAUACCCAAGGGCCUUUGACAACCCCAGUAUCAUUUCCAGUGGAAUUUGGUUUUGCUCUAAAAAUUAAAAUGUGCGAUGUGACGUGUUGUGUGUGCACACUUUGGUGGAGGAGACGGGCUGUGGUGGAUGGAACAUGGAGAGGAA
This is a non-coding RNA of Rattus norvegicus (Norway rat), 751 nucleotides long. NCBI's taxonomy places the organism in Eukaryota, Metazoa, Chordata, Mammalia, Rodentia, Muridae. The record is from RefSeq and is a predicted model, not a curated record.